UGUUUCGGCUAGGGGGCCAUCCCGGCUUACCAACCCGAUGCAAACUGCGAAUACCGGAGAAUGUUAUCACGGGAGACACACGGCGGGUGCUAACGUCCGUCGUGAAGAGGGAAACAACCCAGACCGCCAGCUAAGGUCCCAAAGUCAUGGUUAAGUGGGAAACGAUGUGGGAAGGCCCAGACAGCCAGGAUGUUGGCUUAGAAGCAGCCAUCAUUUAAAGAAAGCGUAAUAGCUCACUGGUCGAGUCGGCCUGCGCGGAAGAUGUAACGGGGCUAAACCAUGCACCGAAGCUGCGGCAGCGACACUGUGUGUUGUUGGGUAGGGGAGCGUUCUGUAAGCCUGCGAAGGUGUCCCGUGAGGGAUGCUGGA
RNAcentral lists this ribosomal RNA (369 nucleotides) under Salmonella enterica subsp. enterica serovar Kentucky. RNAcentral's name for it is "partial 23S ribosomal RNA". It matches the Rfam family "Bacterial large subunit ribosomal RNA", at positions 911 to 1277 of the family's 2925-position model. The record is from RNAcentral. Lineage: Bacteria; Pseudomonadati; Pseudomonadota; Gammaproteobacteria; Enterobacterales; Enterobacteriaceae.